This is a long non-coding RNA of Mercurialis annua (annual mercury), 763 nucleotides long. RefSeq lists it as uncharacterized. The record is from RefSeq and is a predicted model, not a curated record. The transcript has 3 exons. NCBI's taxonomy places the organism in Eukaryota, Viridiplantae, Streptophyta, Magnoliopsida, Malpighiales, Euphorbiaceae.
GCCAAAGCUCUCAAAUAAAAAAAUAAAACACAAGUCCUAGAUUUUUAACUUUACUCACAAAAGUUUCUUAACGAAAAACGUUGAGCAUUUUCCGUAGAUCGUUAAUCUAUCUUUGCAUGUUGGAUCAAGAUUCGACAAGUUGUCGAGCUAUCGGGUCGGAGGACCAAGGGAAUUAACGGAGUUGUUUAAAGGAGCAUUGACGGAGUAAUACCGUAGUUAAACGGUUUCUGUUCGUUACCUGUCUUUUGGACGAGACUUCACUUUAAUUGCUUCUCGAAGUCUCCUCAUUUGAAUUGUGGUAUUUUUGUUCAGUAGCGCUACAGUAGUAGUUAUCCGCAGUAGAUUAGUAUAGUCUUAUUGUAUUCAAAUGUUUUAAAGCGCAUUUAAACUCUGAUGUUUUGUCCCAUCAGUUAUUUAAUAAAUGUUUCAUACAUUUCUAUUUUCAAAGCGAAAAAUUUAUAGUGUUUUUUUUCAGGCUUGCUACGGGUUUCGGAGCAACCACUCCCAUUCCCUAGCGCCGGUCUCGACUCGAGAUUUCGGGUCGUGACAAAGGUGGUAUCAGAGCAGUUGGUCCAGUUACCUCUGCUAAUAUGGGAAUUGAGUGCAGUUGGUCAGAGAUACCACUGUUAGUCUGUGUAGAUGUUGUGUGUACCUAGGAGCAAUAUACAAUGUCACUAGGUUAAGUUAGGAACUAUUGCGGAUAAUAGGAUUUCCAGUCAUGUCUUUUAAACGUUUUCAUCGUUUUCAUCGGUUUUUCAAAUGA